UGGGGAAUAUUGCACAAUGGGCGCAAGCCUGAUGCAGCCAUGCCGCGUGUGUGAAGAAGGCCUUCGGGUUGUAAAGCACUUUCAGCGAGGAGGAAGGGUAGUGUGUUAAUAGCACAUUGCAUUGACGUUACUCGCAGAAGAAGCACCGGCUAACUCCGUGCCAGCAGCCGCGGUAAUACGGAGGGUGCAAGCGUUAAUGGGAAUUACGGGGCGUAAAGCGCACGCAGGCGGUUUGUUAAGUCAGAUGUGAAAUCCCCGCGCUUAACGUGGGAACUGCAUUUGAAACUGGCAAGCUAGAGUCUUGUAGAGGGGGGUAGAAUUCCAGGUGUAGCGGUGAAAUGCGUAGAGAUCUGGAGGAAUACCGGUGGCGAAGGCGGCCCCCUGGACAAAGACUGACGCUCAGGUGCGAAAGCGUGGGGAGCAAACA
This 427-nucleotide ribosomal RNA is filed under the name uncultured bacterium. RNAcentral describes it as "partial 16S ribosomal RNA". It matches the Rfam family "Bacterial small subunit ribosomal RNA", at positions 355 to 774 of the family's 1533-position model. The record is from RNAcentral.